RNAcentral lists this non-coding RNA (45 nucleotides) under Schistosoma margrebowiei. The record is from RNAcentral. Lineage: Eukaryota; Metazoa; Platyhelminthes; Trematoda; Strigeidida; Schistosomatidae.
AUCCAACUGACGAAUCCCGAGUAGGAUGAUACGUGCGUCUAGGAU